GACGAACCGUGCGAACGUUAUUCGGAAUCACUGGGCUUAAAGCGCGUGUAGGCGGGUCGGCACGUCGGUCGCUGAAAUCCCCCGGCUCAACCGGGGAAGUGGCGCCGAUACGGCCGGCCUGGAGGGGGGUAGGGGGGCCUGGAACUUCCGGUGGAGCGGUGAAAUGCGUUGAGAUCGGAAGGAACGCCCGUGGCGAAAGCGAGGCCCUGGACCCCAUCUGACGCUGAGACGCGAAAGCCAGGGGAGCGAACGGG
RNAcentral lists this ribosomal RNA (254 nucleotides) under uncultured bacterium. Its description in RNAcentral is "partial 16S ribosomal RNA". It matches the Rfam family "Bacterial small subunit ribosomal RNA", at positions 524 to 776 of the family's 1533-position model. The record is from RNAcentral.